Long non-coding RNA from Symphalangus syndactylus (siamang), 546 nucleotides. RefSeq lists it as uncharacterized. NCBI's taxonomy places the organism in Eukaryota, Metazoa, Chordata, Mammalia, Primates, Hylobatidae. The record is from RefSeq and is a predicted model, not a curated record.
CCAACAGGCAGAGGCAGAGAGACAGAGAGGAGCUACCCUGAGAAGAGAGACCAGGUGCUGUUGGUCUUGGCUCAGCUCUGUACGGCACAGCAUGGCAUGGCACAGCUCGGUGCUGGUGCCCAGAGAGAGAGUAUGAAACUGCUGAUGCCUGUGAGAGCUACCCACCUUGAAGGUGGGCAGUUGGGAGCCAGGAACUGGCGUGUGCCUGGAGAGGGAAAGAGUUAAGCUGUGAACCCUGACAGAGCUGGCCUCGCAGGCCAGGAAGAGCAGCUCCUGGCAUUGGGGUGGCAGGAGCCACAGAGCCGGAAUAGACAGCUGAGAUGAAGGCCUCAUUCCCAUGCACUAGCACCAAGAGAUGCUGAGAGAUGGACAUCUGGGAGAGAAGGGAUCCAUGGGCAGGGAGAGUGGGCCAGGAUGGAUGCCACCUGGCCAACCCAGAGUGCCAUCCCUGGGAUCCCUGAAUUCUGUAAGGACAGGACAUGAAGCUGUGUGUAUUCCCUGGAGGUGCUUAUUGCCUGUCUACUAAUAAUAACAUUAAAAACAACA